UUAAGCGACUAAGCGUACACGGUGGAUGCCCUGGCAGUCAGAGGCGAUGAAGGACGUGCUAAUCUGCGAAAAGCGCCGGCGAGGUGAUAUGAACCUUUGACCCGGCGAUGUCCGAAUGGGGAAACCCAGUGCAAUUCGUUGCACUAUCGUUAACUGAAUACAUAGGUUAACGAGGCGAACCGGGGGAACUGAAACAUCUAAGUACCCCGAGGAAAAGAAAUCAACCGAGAUUCCCCCAGUAGCGGCGAGCGAACGGGGAGCAGCCCAGAGUCUGAAUCAGCUUGUGUGUUAGUGGAAGCGUCUGGAAAGUCGCACGGUACAGGGUGACAGUCCCGUACACGAAAGCACACAGGCUGUGAACUCGAAGAGUAGGGCGGGACACGUGGUAUCCUGUCUGAAUAUGGGGGGACCAUCCUCCAAGGCUAAAUACUCCUGACUGACCGAUAGUGAACCAGUACCGUGAGGGAAAGGCGAAAAGAACCCCGGCGAGGGGAGUGAAAAAGAACCUGAAACCGUGUACGUACAAGCAGUGGGAGCACCUUCGUGGUGUGACUGCGUACCUUUUGUAUAAUGGGUCAGCGACUUAUAUUCUGUAGCAAGGUUAACCGUAUAGGGGAGCCGAAGGGAAACCGAGUCUUAACUGGGCGUUAAGUUGCAGGGUAUAGACCCGAAACCCGGUGAUCUAGCCAUGGGCAGGUUGAAGGUUGGGUAACACUAACUGGAGGACCGAACCGACUAAUGUUGAAAAAUUAGCGGAUGACUUGUGGCUGGGGGUGAAAGGCCAAUCAAACCGGGAGAUAGCUGGUUCUCCCCGAAAGCUAUUUAGGUAGCGCCUCGUGAACUCAUCUUCGGGGGUAGAGCACUGUUUCGGCUAGGGGGCCAUCCCGGCUUACCAACCCGAUGCAAACUACGAAUACCGAAGAAUGUUAUCACGGGAGACACACGGCGGGUGCUAACGUCCGUCGUGAAGAGGGAAACAACCCAGACCGCCAGCUAAGGUCCCAAAGUCAUGGUUAAGUGGGAAACGAUGUGGGAAGGCACAGACAGCCAGGAUGUUGGCUUAGAAGCAGCCAUCAUUUAAAGAAAGCGUAAUAGCUCACUGGUCGAGUCGGCCUGCGCGGAAGAUGUAACGGGGCUAAACCAUGCACCGAAGCUGCGGCAGCGACGCGUAUGCGUUGUUGGGUAGGGGAGCGUUCUGUAAGCCGUUGAAGGUGUGCUGUGAGGCAUGCUGGAGGUAUCAGAAGUGCGAAUGCUGACAUAAGUAACGAUAAAGCGGGUGAAAAGCCCGCUCGCCGGAAGACCAAGGGUUCCUGUCCAACGUUAAUCGGGGCAGGGUGAGUCGACCCCUAAGGCGAGGCCGAAAGGCGUAGUCGAUGGGAAACAGGUUAAUAUUCCUGUACUUGGUGUUACUGCGAAGGGGGGACGGAGAAGGCUAUGUUAGCCGGGCGACGGUUGUCCCGGUUUAAGCAUGUAGGCGGAGGUUCCAGGUAAAUCCGGUACCUUUUAACGCUGAGGUGUGAUGACGAGGCACUACGGUGCUGAAGUAACAAAUGCCCUGCUUCCAGGAAAAGCCUCUAAGCAUCAGGUAACACGAAAUCGUACCCCAAACCGACACAGGUGGUCAGGUAGAGAAUACCAAGGCGCUUGAGAGAACUCGGGUGAAGGAACUAGGCAAAAUGGUGCCGUAACUUCGGGAGAAGGCACGCUGAUAUGUAGGUGAAGCCCCUGCGGGUGGAGCUGAAAUCAGUCGAAGAUACCAGCUGGCUGCAACUGUUUAUUAAAAACACAGCACUGUGCAAACACGAAAGUGGACGUAUACGGUGUGACGCCUGCCCGGUGCCGGAAGGUUAAUUGAUGGGGUUAGCGGCAACGCGAAGCUCUUGAUCGAAGCCCCGGUAAACGGCGGCCGUAACUAUAACGGUCCUAAGGUAGCGAAAUUCCUUGUCGGGU
This 1950-nucleotide ribosomal RNA is filed under the name human gut metagenome. RNAcentral describes it as "bacterial LSU rRNA". It matches the Rfam family "Bacterial large subunit ribosomal RNA", at positions 1 to 1977 of the family's 2925-position model. The record is from RNAcentral.